GAUUGGGCAACCGGUGAAAAUAUUUCGAAGUUCCUGAUGGGAUCUGAGGAAGUUCCUUAUCCGCAUCGAUUAAGGUGAAAUGGGGAUCCAGGCCUCAUGUCCUGAGCGGCGAAUCGAUAGCUAGUGGUGGGUAAGCUACUAGCAUCGAUCAGUAGCUGUCUGAGAGGACGAUCAGCACACUGACUGAGACACGUCCAGACUCUACGGGAGGCAGCAGUGGGGAUUUGACAAUGGGCGAAAGCUGAUCCAGCACGCCGCGUGAGUGAAGAAGGCCUUCGGGUGUAAAGCUCUUUGUCAGGGAAGAAACGGUGAGGGCUAAUAUCUCUUGCUAAUGACGGUACCUGAAGAAUAAGCACCGGCUAACUACGUGCCAGCAGCCGCGGUAAUACGUAGGGUGCAAGCGUUAAUCGGAAUUACUGGGCGUAAAGCGUGCGCAGGCGGUUUUGUAAGUCUGUCGUGAAAUCCCCGGGCUCAACCUGGGAAUUGCGAUGGAGACUGCAAGGCUAGAAUCUGGCAGAGGGGGGUAGAAUUCCACGUGUAGCAGUGAAAUGCGUAGAGAUGUGGAGGAACACCGAUGGCGAAGGCAGCCCCCUGGGUCAAGAUUGACGCUCAUGCACGAAAGCGUGGGGAGCAAACAGGAUUAGAUACCCUGGUAGUCCACGCCCUAAACGAUGUCUACUAGUUGUCGGGUUUUAAUUAACUUGGUAACGCAGCUAACGCGUGAAGUAGACCGCCUGGGGAGUACGGUCGCAAGAUUAAAACUCAAAGGAAUUGACGGGGACCCGCACAAGCGGUGGAUGAUGUGGAUUAAUCCGAUGCAACGCGAAAAACCUUACCUACCCUUGACAUGUACGGAAGCCACGAGAGAUCGAGGUGUGCUCGAAAGAGAGCCGUAACACAGGUGCUGCAUGGCUGUCGUCAGCUCGUGUCGUGAGAUGUUGGGUUAAGUCCCGCAACGAGCGCAACCCUUGUCAUUAGUUGCUACGAAAGGGCACUCUAACGAGACUGCCGGUGACAAACCGGAGGAAGGUGGGGAUGACGUCAAGUCCUCAUGGCCCUUAUGGGUAGGGCUUCACACGUCAUACAAUGGUACAUACAGAGGGCCGCCAACCCGCGAGGGGGAGCUAAUCCCAGAAAGUGUAUCGUAGUCCGGGUUGUAGUCUGCAACUCGACUGCAUGAAGUUGGAAUCGCUAGUAAUCGCGGAUCAGCAGUAGCGUUUGCUC
RNAcentral lists this ribosomal RNA (1224 nucleotides) under uncultured bacterium. RNAcentral describes it as "partial 16S ribosomal RNA". It matches the Rfam family "Bacterial small subunit ribosomal RNA", at positions 135 to 1368 of the family's 1533-position model. The record is from RNAcentral.